This 860-nucleotide long non-coding RNA is filed under the name Pan troglodytes (chimpanzee). RNAcentral describes it as "lincRNA". Lineage: Eukaryota; Metazoa; Chordata; Mammalia; Primates; Hominidae. The record is from RNAcentral.
CCGUGCAAAUCCAGGCUCAUUGUCAGGCUGGCAGCAUUGGCCAGGGCUGAGUAAAUCAAGUGAAACAGAAGGCAGAUGGAUGUGACCAAGUUAUUGCCAAGAGGAAACAGACAAGGAUCUUGCUCUGUUACCCAGGCUGGAAGACAGUGGUGUGGACACAGCUCACUGUGGCCUGGACCGUCCUGGGAUGAAGCGAUCCUCCCACCUCAGCCUCCCAAGUAGCUAGACCUAUAGACACAUGCCACUAUGCCAGGCUAAUUAUUUUAUUUUUUUGUAGAGAUGGGGUCUCACUUUUUUGCUCAGGUUGGUCCCAAACUCCUGGUCUCAAGUGAUCCUCCUGCCUCAGCCUCCCAAAGUGCUGGGAUUACCACUGUGCCUAAAGUCUAUUUUUUUUUCUUUAAGGAUCUCUUACCAUCUUUGAGAAGAGUAUCUUGUAUGAAUUGUAGAGAAGCAUGAUAGAAGUCAGGAAGAGUGGCUGGGUUGAGGGAGGCUUUUUAUUGCAAUAAUCCUGGUGUCAGGGGACAAGAAGCAGAACUAGGACAUUAAUAGCUGGGAUGGAGAGAUUAGGGAACUUUCUAAAGCAAAUGGAGGAAAGGGUAAAGUCAGGGUGUGGUAGCUAGUUUCUAAAGAUCGUCCCCAGUGAACCACACCCAGUAGGGUUGUCUCACAUUGAUUCUGGACUGGGCCAUUCAAACUGAUGGAAUGAGGCAAGAUGGUACUACGUGACUUCCCAUGACUUCCAAGGCUAGGUUGGAGGAAGGUUUGCCUGGGCCUCUUGGAGUGAGAACCCAGCUCUCACGCUGUGAGAAGCCCAAACCACCCAGCGGAGCUCCUAGCUACCAGCCAGCAUCACCCACCAG